Molecule: non-coding RNA, 50 nt
Filed under: Trichobilharzia regenti
Lineage: Eukaryota; Metazoa; Platyhelminthes; Trematoda; Strigeidida; Schistosomatidae
Source: RNAcentral
GUAUUGCUGAAGAGUCCGAAACUAGGACGAUAUAAACAGCUGUCCAAUAC